UAAUCUCAGCUGGCAAAAGUGAG
This 23-nucleotide microRNA is filed under the name Platynereis dumerilii (Dumeril's clam worm). RNAcentral's name for it is "mir-216". The record is from RNAcentral. Lineage: Eukaryota; Metazoa; Annelida; Polychaeta; Phyllodocida; Nereididae.